This 3790-nucleotide long non-coding RNA is filed under the name Sus scrofa (pig). Its description in RNAcentral is "lncRNA (ENSSSCG00005040797.1)". The record is from RNAcentral. Lineage: Eukaryota; Metazoa; Chordata; Mammalia; Artiodactyla; Suidae.
AAGAAUCUGAGAUACAUCUGCAACCUACGCCAUAGUUCACGGCAACGCUGAAUCCUUAAGCCACUGAGCAAGGCCAGGGAUUGAACCUGCAUCCUCAUGGAUGCUAGUUGCGUUCAUUACCACUGAGCCAUGAUGGGAAUUCCUUCAUGUCUGUUUUUAUAACCCAGGGAGAGAAGAGGUCUCACAAUACACCUGCUGACCUGAUGAUUGGUUGGGGAAAGAGGGGUCUUAUGAUACACUUACUGGUUCGUUGGGGUCAUACAAGGCCCCUAUAGGGGUGGUUGAGAAAGGGGCCACAUGCCUUCCCUAGUAGGGGUGGGAAGGAGUAGGUCAAGUUGCUCAGGGUAGAAGAGGGGGCAUUACCAUGUUGCGGGAUGAUAAGGGUCUGGUAGUUCUUGUCUUGGCGGGAGGCUUUGACUUCAAUCUCCAUGAAGUGGCCUUGAAGCCCAAAGAUUCAUAUUGUGAUUUAUAAUGAGAGAUAUGUAUUUGCUCUUCGUUCUUGUUCCUGGUACAGAGCCCCUAAGACCCUUGAAAUUUCCUAAGUGAGAUGAGCAUAAACUUGUCUUCUGUUAUUGUAAUGAGUGAUUUUUGGCCCCCCCCCCCCCCCCGUCCCGCCCCGUAAGAAAGGUGGCUGGUUGCCAGAGGAAAUAUCACUUGAUUAGAGGAUUGAAACUUUCAGCCCCCCUGACUUCUGGGGGUGGGGGAGGGGCUGGAGUUUGAGUUCAUUGGUGAAUGGCCAGUGAUUUCAUCACUCAUGCUGUCCAGGUUGGUGAACCCUUGGAGGUGUGGGAGAAGUGAUGCUUGCUUGGGAAGGUAAGGAGGCUUUGGGCCCCUUCUCCAUACCUUGUCCUCCGGAUCUCUUCUAUCUGGCUUUUCCUAAGUUAUAUCCUGGGUAUCAAGUGGGAAUCUAGUGAGCAAAUGGGUUUCCUGAGUUCUGUGAGCCACUUUAGCAAAUUAAUGGAACGCAGAGCUGAGGUUGUGGGAACCUCUGAUCUAUAGCUUGUCCACUUUAAAAAAAUGCACAGCCUGCAACUUGAGAGUUAAAGUUUAUUUGGGGCCAAAUGAAGACCUACCGGGAGACAGCAUCUCAGGUAGCCCUGAGAAACCCUCACUGUCCUCCCGAGAGACAUAAAAACAAAUGCAUCUGAAAGUGGGACAAGGUGACGCUUCAAGGAGAAGGCAAACAAAGGGACUGAAUAGAGAGGCUUCCAUCGAGAAGGGGGAACUGAGAGAAGGCAGCUUCAGAGGGUCUCUGGGGACAGGAGGUGAGAAAGGCAGUUUGGGGGCAGAGUGGAAAGAUCCUGAAUGCUGGAUUUUUACAAAUGGAUUUUAAGUUGUGCCAAGGAAUUUGAAAGAGGGGAUUGUGCAAUCAGGACCCUCGAUUGGGAUGCUUGCUCUGGGGUGUUGCAGGAGAGGCUGGACAGGAAAUGGAUCAGAAAUUGGCAUUUUAACAUGUAAAAAGCCUAGGAGUUCCGGAUGUGGCGCAGCCAAAACAAAUCUGACUAGUAAUCAUGAGGUUGCGGGUUCGAUCCCUGGCCUCGCUCAGUGGGUUAACGAUCUGGUGUUUCCGUGAGCUGUGGUGUAGCCUGUAGAUGUGGCUCGGAUCCCGCGUUGCUGUGGGGUAGGCCGGCAGCUGUAGCUCUGAUUUGGCCCCUCACCUGGGAACUUCCAUGUGCCGUGGGUGUGGCCCUAAAAAGCAAAAACCAAACAAAAACCAAACAAAAUAAAAAAAAAAAAAACCCUAAACAUGUAAAACACCUAGAACAUGCAGUUGAAUGAUUCUGCUCUCAGUUGUAUUCUCAUGUCAGACAGAGCCCCUUGGCUUCAACAACAGCAGGAAGCGUGUGAAUACACAUGGAGAAAGGUCUGCUAUGGUGCAUAUACAGUGACUGAGGGGAGUCAUUGCCUUUCUCCUAAUUUUUCUGUAUGGUUUUAAGUUUUUCAAGCGAGCACAUGUCAUUACUUCUAGAGUCAGAAAAAAAGUAAAAUUAUUUUUAAAAAUAAUAAGAAAGCAUUUCUCCUGUGGUGCAGUGGGUUAAGCAUCCGGGGUUGUCCCUACAGCAGCUUGGGUCCCUGCUAUGGCAUGGGUUUGAUUUCUGGCCCGGGAAUUCCAUAUGUCAAGGGGAUGGCCUAAAUAGGUAAAUAAAACCCUUUCUUUUCCCUGGCGCUCUAAACGACAGCAUCUAAUUAAGUCACAGCCCGGGGUGCUGUGAGUGACUGUGUAAAUCCAUCAGUAACCCAGGCAACGCAAAGGCAGGGGACACUGUGUUCUCCAAGACUGGCCUAAGAGGUGCCCUUGGCUGGGGCUUCCGUGGGAUCCGUCUGAGGAGCUGCUGGCCCUGAGACACACUGUGCAUUGGAAGUCAGUAGGGGCCCUUCUCUUUUCCAGGAAGCCCAGGCUCCGAUGCCACUUGCCAUCCUGCUUCCCCGCGCCCCGCACCCACGCUAGCAUAUAUCCCGCAUUUCAUGUACAGCAUCAGUACAGAAAAGGGCGACUCACGAUGAUUUUAAUCAUCCCUCGUACCAUCCCUGAGCUCCUCUGACAAAACUUACAUUAAAGAAAAUUCAAGAGACACCCACCCUGUGUUUUCCUCUUUGAAACCCAGUUUAUUCACAUGGCCAUUCUCUCAUCAAAGCCACCCAGGGAAAGUUCCUUUCUCCAGGCAAGGCUGGACCAGGGAGGCCACAAGGGGUACGUCUUCAAAGAAGCCAGUCCCAAGUGAUUAUCUCUAGGAUGGAGAAAAAACAAGGCCCGGGAGUUCCUGUCACGGCGCAGCAGAAACGGAUCCGAUUAAGAACCAUGAGGUUGCAGGUUUGAUCCCUGGCUUCACUUAGUGGGUUAAAGAUCCGGUGUUGCCAUGAGCUCUGGCUUAGGAAUGCAGCUACAGCUCUGAUUGAACCCCUAGCCUGGGAACCUCCAUACGCCACGGGUAAAAGACAAAAGGCCAAAAAGAGAAAGAAAAAAGCCACAGUCCCAACAACAAGACUGUGGAGACGGACCGUGUUAGGGGAAUUCACAGGGGCUGGGGCAGCAAUGAGCAAAGAACCACCAGGGUUCUGGCAGAGGAGGUACCAGAGGGCUCGGGAGGUCGUCCGUCCUCAGGGAGGAGGAAAUUCCCCUCUACCCUUCUAGGUGCUUCUGCCUGGUCUGCGAAUUAAACUGGCAUCAGCGUGAUUAACAGGAGAAAACCAAGCAGACGUUUAAUAACAUGUACAUGGGAGAAACCGGAUAAAUGGACUAAUUCACCAACAUGCUGAAGUCUUCACGAUAAAUACCAUCUUCAGCUAAAGAUGAAAGAGGGUUGGGGUAGUGGCUGAGGACUUGGUGGGGGUCUGGGGGGGUGCAAUUCAUAUGAAGAUAGAAAAGCUAGGAGUUCCCGUUGUGGCUCAGCAGUAAUGAACCCAACUAGUAUCCAUGAGGACAAGGGUUCAAUCCCUGGCCCCACUCAGUGGGUUAAGGAUCUUGUGUUGCCCUGAGCUGUGGUGUAGGUCACAGAUGAAGCUCAGAUCCUGUAUUGCUGGGGCUGUGGUUUAGAAGGGCAGCUGCAGCUCUGAUUCCAUCCCUACCCUGGGAACUUCUAUAUGGGCAGGUGCAGUCCUAAGAAAACAGCAAAAGGAAAAAAAGGAAAAGCAAAUGUUUGGUAAAUAAAUGUUUGCUGGGCCAGGCAGAAACAGCAGGACAGAGUGGAUCUGAUCUCGGCCCCUACACGGACUGCACAGCCUUAGUAGCUGUCUCCGGUGACCGCUCUAUCCUAGCAACAGGCCCUCUAGCUAAAUUCUUUCAGGCAGU